UAUGUUAAAUCUCGCCCGAACAGUUGC
RNAcentral lists this non-coding RNA (27 nucleotides) under Bombyx mori (domestic silkworm). Lineage: Eukaryota; Metazoa; Arthropoda; Insecta; Lepidoptera; Bombycidae. The record is from RNAcentral.